Molecule: long non-coding RNA, 1381 nt
Filed under: Equus asinus (donkey)
Lineage: Eukaryota; Metazoa; Chordata; Mammalia; Perissodactyla; Equidae
Description: lncRNA (ENSEASG00005025194.1)
Source: RNAcentral
GGGGGGAGCUCCCGCGCCGGGCGGCCCGCAACCCCCGCGCCCCACGCAGCUGUGGGUGAGAUUGACAGCGACCUGAUAGGAUUUAUUCUGCUGUUUUUAAUGCUCAAGAAGUGUUUCGUGUGAAGUAUUGGGAUGCUAUUAGAGAAAAUUUAAGUGUGUAUAUUGUGUAAAUUACCUAUACAACAUCUGUUAUCAUGCACUUUUUCUUUUUAACACCGAGAAGCGGCGUCAGAUGUCUGCAGUGCUUGGAGCUGCUCUGUCGUCAGCGGCAGGAAGUUUAGACCGGGGCAUCCACAGGAUGUUCUUUUUCAUCACCACCAGCUACAGAGAACAAGUGAUAAAUAACAGCGCCUGCAUGCACGGUCACAUACAUUUCCUCACGUAACAAUAGCCCUGAAUAUGCAGGAAGCAAGACCCAUUUGAAGCUGGGAUCAGAGAGACGUUCUCUGGCUUUUGAUGGAGAGGUCGUUGCCUUACAGAGACCCAGCCAGUGACCUUGGCUCCCAGCGCCAGCUUCUGCCAAAGAAGCCCCUGGCUCAGACCACUACGUUAGGCCAAGGAAAUCCCUUGACGACAUCUGUCCCCAGCACGGAAUCAAACUAUUAUUCAAAGGACAAACCGUCUCUUAUUAAUUAGAAGAAAUCCUAGAAGCAGCCUUGUGCACAAGGGCACGCAAGGCUUUUACUUCUCCCUUGUUGGGACACUUUGGUGAAGUACAAAAGACCGGCCCUCCCACUCGGCGCUGUUACUGAAAUGAGCUCCUUCGGAGGAGCUGUCCCAUCCCAUCCUUGGCUCCACGGACCUUGUUAUUUCAGUUCGUGGGAUGGGAAGCAAGGAUUGGGGAGAGGACCUUUAGUUCCCAGUGGGAAUUGAAUGUUCAGAAGGCAGGAGAAAAUAAAACAGACCUGACGAGGUUGACGAGGGACAACGGUGAGUUUCCCUUACCAGCUUUCGACUGGCCAGAGAUGCAAGCAGAUGUGGGGUGCACAUUACUAAAUCUUUGGAGUCCUCAUUCUUCCGCGCCCCAUCAUGGAGCUAUCAGCACCACCAUUUUACAGAUGAGGAAACUGAGAAAAUCAUACAGCUAAGUGACAGACACAAGAUUCAAACCAGGUGUCUCUGACAUUAGAGCAGAAUCUCUUUAGUCCUGUGCUAUACUGCCUCCAUUAAAAAUCAUGUUUGAGGGGCUGGCCCCGUGGCCGAGUGGUUGGGUUCGCGCGCUCCGCUGCAGGCGGCCCAGUGUUUCAUUGGUUCGAAUCCUGGGCGUGGACAUGGCACUGCUCAUCAGACCACGCUGAGGCAGCGUCCCACAUGCCACAACUAGAAGAACCCACAACGAAGAAUACACAACUAUGUACCGGGGGGCUUUGGGGAGAAAAAG